Molecule: long non-coding RNA, 1361 nt
Filed under: Monodelphis domestica (gray short-tailed opossum)
Lineage: Eukaryota; Metazoa; Chordata; Mammalia; Didelphimorphia; Didelphidae
Description: lncRNA (ENSMODG00000041130.1)
Source: RNAcentral
CAAUUAUACUCCAGAGGGAGGAUGAAAAAUAAGUAUCUAUCUGCCCUCCAUAGGGACCUCUACUGGUUUUUGCUUACAAUAAAUAGCUUCAUGGAAUAGUCAAUGCAAUCUCAUUUUAUAAAGAAGGAAUGUAGUGCCCUAAAGGUAAAAUAACUAACCUGAGGUCAACCAGGUAGCAAGUGUCAGACUCAGGAGUUAAACUCAAGUCUUCUGGGGCUAUUCCCCCAUACAGUGAACUAACAAUUCAUCAUCAUUAUCAUCAUAAUACUUCAUAUUUCUAUAAUAUCUAUGUGCAAUUUCUCCUUGGGCAGAGCCAAGAUGGUGGAGUAGAACAGAGAAGCUCUGGGUCACCAUGAGAAUCUUUUCUAACCAAUAUUAAAAUACUCCAACAAAAGGAAUAAAGGAGUGAAAGAGCCAAUAAGGAGACAGAGUGUAACAAUUUUCAAGGAAAAAAACCCAAAGAUAGAAGAGGGGAGCAGAGUCAGCAAGAAGCUGUAGCAACCAGGGAAGAACAAGCCAAGAGCAAGUCACACCCCCACCCUACAACUGCUGUCUCAGCUAAAGGAAAUCUAAAAAAAAAAAAAAGAGUUCACAAAAGUGCAGCCUGGGGAGUGUUUGAGGUAGAAAAAAAGAAGGCAGUUGCAUUCCUUGUCUUGAUAAAGAAGGUAAGAGCUUCAGAGUGUUAUUCUUUUGUUUUCAAUAAAUAAUGUUUUCUUCCAGACUAGCUUUGGAACUGUCAACAUGGAAUCUAGAAACCCCAAACUUGUAGUCUAGUGGGAUCUGGUGAACCCCAGGUUUCAGGAUUAGCUUAUAGGUUGGAGACCCCAAAAUUUGUACUUAUUCCUGGUUCCCAAAGGAAUCCAACCUGAAGGGAAUCCCAGGCUAGCAGUUUCAGGCUGAGUGGGAGACCCUCAGGGGAAUGACAAUCCUGUUUGGGUGAGACUAAGCAUAUGCUAAAGACCCUCUUUGUCUUAGGUAGUCCCCCUAAUUGUAUCAGACCCUUUCCGGAGAAGAGCCACACCUGGGCAUAAACCAUCCUUUAGUAUCCAUAGUAAGCAGCCCCUUCUCUUUCACCCUAGCUUCUAGCUAUGAUUCCUUUCCCAAGUUUGAUUGUAUCCUGUCAGUGUAGUUUGAACACUCCCAUUUCCUUGUAGUUAUGGUAAUGUCAAUAGCCUUUCCCUGCCCCAGGAUCUCCCCAAAUGGUAUAUAGGUUCCCCAAAUUCUUUUGUUCCACAGAGUCAUUUUCCAGCUUCCUGUCACUCCCAGGGAUAAUAUCCCCAGAGUCCAGGGUGUAGACCAUGGAAAAGUUUCAGUGCCAGACUCUGAAUAAAGGGCCAAAUGUUGGACUUAUCCUCUCCUGA